Molecule: unclassified non-coding RNA, 345 nt
Filed under: soil metagenome
Description: partial contains 5.8S ribosomal RNA, internal transcribed spacer 2, and large subunit ribosomal RNA
Rfam family: 5.8S ribosomal RNA (bases 1-120)
Source: RNAcentral
GAUGAAGAACGUAGCGAAAUGCGAUACGUAAUGUGAAUUGCAGAAUUCAGUGAAUCAUCGAGUCUUUGAACGCACAUUGCGCCCCCUGGUAUUCCGGGGGGCAUGCCUGUCCGAGCGUCAUUGCUGCCCUCAAGCACGGCUUGUGUGUUGGGCCUCCGUCCUCCUCCCGGGGGACGGGCCCGAAAGGCAGCGGCGGCACCGCGUCCGGUCCUCGAGCGUAUGGGGCUUCGUCACCCGCUCUUGUAGGCCCGGCCGGCGCUUGCCUACACAUCAAUCUUUUUUCCAGGUUGACCUCGGAUCAGGUAGGGAUACCCGCUGAACUUAAGCAUAUCAAUAAGCGGAGGA